UUAUCACACCUAUUUCUUGCGCCCCCUAUUUUUCUUGUAUUUUUGCCUACUAAAAAAGACUGGACAUACCCCAUUUGCAAUACCUUGGGUUGUCUACUUUUGCAAAUGGUAUGCCAUCAUGGGGGUAAUUCUCAUUCCUGGGCUACCAUACGGUCUCAAAGGCAACGUAACCAAUCUGGAAAAUUUCAAUGUGAAAAAAAUGCAACAUGCUAUAUUUGACCCUGUAACUUCCCAAAACACCAUAAACCUGUACAAGGGGAUACUGUCUUACACGUGAGACAUCGCUGAAUACAAAUAUGUGUAUUUUAUUGCAGUAAAAGCAAACAGUAUUAUGACAUUCACAGUUAAAAUGUCACGUAGAACUACGUUUUUUUUUUUUUAUUCUUAUUUUCUCCCACUUGUUUAUAUUUUAUUCAUAUUCAAUUAUGUUUCAUACCUAAAUAUUUGAUGUUAAAUGAAAGCCCUGUUUCCCCUCAAUAAAAUGAUCUAUAAUAAGUGUGGGUUCACAUAAUGUGAAAGAGGUGAAUUACGCCGGAACAGGCAUUUAGCGCAAAUUCAAGUUUUUGUUUACGUUUUGUUUUGACCACAACGUGUACAUUUGGCUUAGUCCUUAAAGGGUUAAUAAUGAUUUUUAAUUAUUUACUUAUUUUUACAUUAUUUAUGAUUAUUUUUCAUAUUCAUUAUUUUUUCAUUUUAAUUUUCCCUUGUAUUUUAGUUUUCUUUUUCUUUUUUUUGUAUAACUACUAUCUGUACUUUCAGGUUAAAUUAGUUUUUUUCUGAGACAUCAUACUGGCAUCCCCUUGUCAGGUAUACUCUGGCAUUCAUGCCGCCGUCAGAACCCACUUCCGGGUUCGCGGCGCUUAGCCCCACCCCUUUUUCUGACGCGGUCCUUCCAUGAUACUUAGGAAGACCGUGCCAGAUUCAAAGGGCUGGAUUAUUCACUCAGGUGCUGCAUAGAGAUCAGCUGCUCUACUUUGAUGCUACCAGCUCCACUUCUCGACCUCGGCUUGUAAAACGGAUUUCUACCUUCUCCACUUCUCGACCUCGGCUUGUAAAACGGAAUUCUACCUUCUCCUCUCCCAGACCUCGGCUUGUAAAACGGACUUCCUCACUCUCCACUCCUAAUUCUCAGCUUGUUAAUUCAGGCUUCUAAAUUCUCCUCCAUUGGGUGAAUUAACCCUUCCAGUGCCAGAACUGCCUCUAAGUUAAGUAAAACUUUUGCCAAGGAAAUCAAUUCAUAUUAUUUAUGUUAUACAAUAUUUAAACCUCACUAAACUGUCACUUGUUAAUCAAUUACUUUUAUUCAUAAGGGAUUGCUACUAAGGCUAAUUAUUCCUGCAAUAAUCAAUUUAUUUAAAUUGCAUAAUUCCUGCAUGUGUAUUUAAAGAUACAGUCACCAUUGUUUAAUUUCAGUAUAAAAGGAGGUGAAACCUAUUAUUGCUGCAAUCAGAAAAUCUGCAGUUGAGUUCCAAUUAAAGAAGUAUUACAAAAUAAGUAUCACACCCCUUAUGUUUUCAUUAUGUAUUUUUGGCCUUAUUUUUAUUAUUGUAUGUUCUGAUCAGAAUGCGUGCCUGUUGGUAUAUAUUUCCAGAUCCCCACAUGGGACUGAACUGGAGAGAGUUCUAGCAUUUCACUGUGUAUCUCAUAUUCAUGAGGAAGUCGAGGCUGGACGAAAUUCAUUGCAUUGCUGCUGGAUUGCUGCUAUUAGUUUUUAUUUUAUUUGGUUUUAUUUAGCUUUUAAUUUUUAUUCCGCUGCUUCCACAUCUUUUACUUGGAAAGUGCCCCAUUGGUUGAGAGUGAUUUUUUUUUCCAUUUGGCUCACUUGCAGUGGAGACAUGCC
This is a non-coding RNA of Pelobates cultripes (western spadefoot toad), 1840 nucleotides long. The record is from the annotation of a GenBank genome assembly. Lineage: Eukaryota; Metazoa; Chordata; Amphibia; Anura; Pelobatidae.